GAUGAACGCUGGCGGCGUGCUUAACACAUGCAAGUCGAACGAUGAAGCCCAGCUUGCUGGGUGGAUUAGUGGCGAACGGGUGAGUAACACGUGAGUAACCUGCCCUUAACUCUGGGAUAAGCCGGGGAAACUGGGUCUAAUACCGGAUAGGAGCGCCUACCGCAUGGUGGGUGUUGGAAAGAUUUAUCGGUUUUGGAUGGACUCGCGGCCUAUCAGCUUGUUGGUGAGGUAAUGGCUCACCAAGGCGACGACGGGUAGCCGGCCUGAGAGGGUGACCGGCCACACUGGGACUGAGACACGGCCCAGACUCCUACGGGAGGCAGCAGUGGGGAAUAUUGCACAAUGGGCGCAAGCCUGAUGCAGCGACGCCGCGUGAGGGAUGACGGCCUUCGGGUUGUAAACCUCUUUCAGUAGGGAAGAAGCGAAAGUGACGGUACCUGCAGAAGAAGCACCGGCUAACUACGUG
Molecule: ribosomal RNA, 466 nt
Filed under: uncultured bacterium
Lineage: Bacteria
Description: partial 16S ribosomal RNA
Rfam family: Bacterial small subunit ribosomal RNA
Source: RNAcentral